This 619-nucleotide ribosomal RNA is filed under the name Golovinomyces ambrosiae. Its description in RNAcentral is "partial large subunit ribosomal RNA". Lineage: Eukaryota; Fungi; Ascomycota; Leotiomycetes; Helotiales; Erysiphaceae. The record is from RNAcentral.
AAUUAAGCAUAUCAAUAAGCGGAGGAAAAGARACCAACCGGGAUUACCUCAGUAACGGCGAGUGAAGCGGUAACAGCUCAAAUUYGAAAUCUGGCUCUUCCGGAGUCCGAGUUGUAAUUUGUAGAAGAUGCUUUGGGAGGUARGGCCGGCCUAAGUUCCUUGGAACAGGACAUCAGAGAGGGUGAGAAUCCCGUAUGUGGCCGUGGCCUACGCCCGUGUAAAGCUCUUUCGACGAGUCGAGUUGUUUGGGAAUGCAGCUCAAAAUGGGUGGUAAAUUUCAUCUAAAGCUAAAUAUUGGCCARARACCGAUAGCGCACAAGUARAGUGAUCGAAAGAUGAAAAGCACUUUGGAAAGARAGUUAAACAGUACGUGAAAUUGUUGAAAGGGAAGCGCUUGCAACCAGACUUGGGCGUCGUCRAUCAUCCGGGGUUCUCCUCGGUGCACUCSACGAGGCACAGGCCAGCAUCGGUUUGGAUGGUUGGAGAAAGGCCCUAGGAACGUAGCUCUCUUCGGGGAGUGUUAUASCCUARAGCGCAAUGCACGCCCAUCCGGACUCGAGGACCGCGCCUUUGGCUAGGAUGCUGGCGUAAUGGUUGCAAGCGACCCGUCUUGAAAAAG